UAAACAGUUGUGCUGGCGACCAUAUCAAGAGUGAACCACCUGAUCCCUUCCCGAACUCAGAAGUGAAACCUCUUAGCGCUGAUGGUAGUGUGGGAUUACCCAUGUGAGAGUAAGUCAUCGCCAGCUCAUUAUUC
This 134-nucleotide ribosomal RNA is filed under the name Acinetobacter baumannii ATCC 17978. Lineage: Bacteria; Pseudomonadati; Pseudomonadota; Gammaproteobacteria; Moraxellales; Moraxellaceae. The record is from RNAcentral.